Molecule: ribosomal RNA, 253 nt
Filed under: uncultured bacterium
Lineage: Bacteria
Description: partial 16S ribosomal RNA
Rfam family: Bacterial small subunit ribosomal RNA
Source: RNAcentral
UACGUAGGGGGCUAGCGUUGUCCGGAAUCAUUGGGCGUAAAGAGCGUGUAGGCGGCGUGGUACGUCCGCUGUGAAAGCCGGGGGCUCAACCCUCGAAUGCCGGUGGAUACUGUCGGGCUAGAGUGCGGAAGAGGCGAGUGGAAUUCCUGGUGUAGCGGUGAAAUGCGCAGAUAUCAGGAGGAACACCGAUUGCGAAGGCAGCUCGCUGGGACGUAACUGACGCUGAGACGCGAAAGCGUGGGGAGCAAACAGG